Molecule: ribosomal RNA, 860 nt
Filed under: uncultured bacterium
Lineage: Bacteria
Description: bacterial SSU rRNA
Rfam family: Bacterial small subunit ribosomal RNA
Source: RNAcentral
GUCAAGGGGCCUUCGGGUCACUGGCGCACGGGUGAGUAACGCGUAGGUAAUCUGCCCAUAUCACAGGCAUAACGUCGGGAAACCGGCACUAAUAUCUGAUGAGGCCCAAGGGUCAAAGUGGAAACAUGGAUAUGGAUGAGCCUGCGUCUGAUUAGCUAGUUGGUGAGGUAAUGGCCCACCAAGGCGACGAUCAGUAGCUGGUCUGAGAGGACGAUCAGCCACACUGGAACUGAGACACGGUCCAGACUCCUACGGGAGGCAGCAGUGAGGAAUUUUGCACAAUGGGGGAAACCCUGAUGCAGCGACGCCGCGUGUAGGAUGAACUGGCUUUGCCAUGUAAACUACUGUCGGAUGGGAAGAAAAGUUCGCUCGGCGGACUGGGACUGUACCAUCAAAGGAAGCACCGGCUAACUACGUGCCAGCAGCCGCGGUAAUACGUAGGGUGCAAGCGUUGUCCGGAAUUACUGGGUGUAAAGGGUGCGCAGGCGGAUCCGUGCGUCAGAGGUUAAAUAUCCCGGCUUAACCGGGAAAGUGCCUUUGAUACGGCGGAUCUUGAAUAUGAGAGAGGAUGAUAGAAUUCCUGGUGUAGCGGUGAAAUGCGUAGAUAUCAGGAGGAAUACCGGUGGCGAAGGCGGUCAUCUGGCUCAUUAUUGACGCUCAGGCACGAAAGCGUGGGGAUCAAACAGGAUUAGAUACCCUGGUAGUCCACGCCCUAAACGAUGUAUGCUUGGUGUUAGACCCUCGAGGUCUAGUGCCGUAGGUAACCCGUUAAGCAUACCACCUGGGGAGUACGAUCGCAAGGUUGAAACUCAAAGGAAUUGACGGGGGCCCGCACAAGCGGUGGAUUAUGUGGUUUAAUU